RNAcentral lists this ribosomal RNA (501 nucleotides) under uncultured bacterium. RNAcentral's name for it is "partial 16S ribosomal RNA". It matches the Rfam family "Bacterial small subunit ribosomal RNA", at positions 30 to 523 of the family's 1533-position model. The record is from RNAcentral.
AUUGAACGCUGGCGGCAGGCUUAACACAUGCAAGUCGAGCGGGGAAGGGUAGCUUGCUACCUAACCUAGCGGCGGACGGGUGAGUAAUGCUUAGGAAUCUGCCAUUUAGUGGGGGACAACAUUCCGAAAGGAAUGCUAAUACCGCACACGUCCUACGGGAGAAAGCAGGGGAUCUUCGGACCUUGCGCUAAAUGAUGAGCCUAAGUCGGAUUAGCUAGUUGGUGGGGUAAAGGCCAACCAAGGCGACGAUCUGUAGCGGGUCUGAGAGGAUGAUCCGCCACACUGGGACUGAGACACGGCCCAGACUCCUACGGGAGGCAGCAGUGGGGAAUAUUGGACAAUGGGCGGAAGCCUGAUCCAGCCAUGCCGCGUGUGUGAAGAAGGCCUUAUGGUUGUAAAGCACUUUAAGCGAGGAGGAGGCUACUUAGAUUAAUACUCUAGGAUAGUGGACGUUACUCGCAGAAUAAGCACCGGCUAACUCUGUGCCAGCCGCCGCGGUAA